AGAGUUUGAUCCUGGCUCAGGACGAACGCUGGCGGCGCGCUUAACACAUGCAAGUCGAGCGAGAACCAGGGCUUCGGCCCUGGGGACAGCGGCGAACGGGUGAGUAACACGUGGAUAACCUGCCCUCGGCACCGGGAUAGCCCGGGGAAACUCGGAUUAAUACCGGAUAGCCCUUCCGGCUCUCGAGCCGGUCGGAAAAGGUAGCUUCGGCCUCUGGCCGAGGAUGGGUCCGCGGCGGAUUAGCUUGUUGGUGGGGUAAUGGCCUACCAAGGCUCCGAUCCGUAGCUGGUCUGAGAGGACGAUCAGCCACACUGGGACUGAGACACGGCCCAGACUCCUACGGGAGGCAGCAGUGGGGAAUAUUGGACAAUGGGCGAAAGCCUGACGCAGCAACGCCGUGUGGGUGACGAAGGCCUUCGGGUUGUAAACCACUGUCGGGAGGGACGAAUGCCCCGCAAGGGGAGUGACGGUACCUCCAAAGGAAGCACCGGCUAACUCCGUGCCAGCAGCCGCGGUAAUACGGAGGGUGCGAGCGUUGUUCGGAAUUACUGGGCGUAAAGCGCGCGCAGGCGGCCCGUUAAGUCUGCAGGUGAAAUGCCGGGGCUCAACCCCGUGCAUGCCUCGGAUACUGGGGGGCUGGAGAGACGUAGAGGCAAGCGGAAUUCCGGGUGUAGCGGUGGAAUGCGCAGAUAUCAGGAGGAACACCGGUGGCGAAGGCGGAUCUCUGGGCCAUUACUGACGCUGAGGAGCGAAAGCGUGGGGAGCGAACAGGAUUAGAUACCCUGGUAGUCCACGCCGUAAACGUUGGGAACUAGGUGUUGGCGACAUUCCACGUCGUCGGUGCCGCAGCUAACGCAUUAAGUUCCCCGCCUGGGGAGUACGGCCGCAAGGCUAAAACUCAAAGGAAUUGACGG
Molecule: ribosomal RNA, 914 nt
Filed under: uncultured bacterium
Lineage: Bacteria
Description: bacterial SSU rRNA
Rfam family: Bacterial small subunit ribosomal RNA
Source: RNAcentral